RNAcentral lists this transfer RNA (73 nucleotides) under Capra hircus (goat). It matches the Rfam family "tRNA". Rfam says of the family: Transfer RNA (tRNA) molecules are approximately 80 nucleotides in length. Their secondary structure includes four short double-helical elements and three loops (D, anti-codon, and T loops). Further hydrogen bonds mediate the characteristic L-shaped molecular structure. tRNAs have two regions of fundamental functional importance: the anti-codon, which is responsible for specific mRNA codon recognition, and the 3' end, to which the tRNAs corresponding amino acid is attached (by aminoacyl-tRNA synthetases). tRNAs cope with the degeneracy of the genetic code in two manners: having more than one tRNA (with a specific anti-codon) for a particular amino acid; and 'wobble' base-pairing, i.e. permitting non-standard base-pairing at the 3rd anti-codon position. RNAcentral also lists the same sequence under 1 other name. The record is from Rfam by way of RNAcentral. Lineage: Eukaryota; Metazoa; Chordata; Mammalia; Artiodactyla; Bovidae.
UCCCUGGUGGUCCAGCGGCUGAGACUCUGCGUUCCCAAUGCAGGAGGCCCGGGUUCCAUCCCUGGUUGGGGAA